Molecule: ribosomal RNA, 497 nt
Filed under: uncultured bacterium
Lineage: Bacteria
Description: partial 16S ribosomal RNA
Rfam family: Bacterial small subunit ribosomal RNA
Source: RNAcentral
GAUGAACGCUGGCGGCGUGCCUAACGCAUGCAAGUCGAACGGACGGACGCUAAGCUUGUGUUUUUGAUGUUAGCGGCAGGCGGGUGUGUAACGCGUGUAUCCUCUCCUUAUCUUUCGGGGAAAAUCACGGAAAACCGGAUAUUAUACCAGAGAAUAUUUUGAACCGCAGGGUUCAAAGGAAAGUGACGGCCUUGCUGUCUGUAAUAGCUGGUUACGCGCUGGCUUAGCUGGUUGGUAAGGUACCAGCCUAUCACGGCGACGAGGCGUGGCCGACCUGAGAGGCUGAUCGGCCACACUGGAACUGAGACACGGUCCAGACGCCUACGGGAGGCAGCAGUAGGGAACCGUCGGCAAUGGGCGAAAGCCUGACGCAGCGACGCCGCGUGUGUGAUGAAGGCCUCCGGUUCGGAAAGCCCGCUUUUUGGUUAAGAACAGCUGUCGAAUGAAACGUGGCCUUAGUGACGGUACCUAAUCAAAAAGCACCGGCUAACUACGUG